UACAGAGGGGGCAAGCGUUGUUCGGAAUUACUGGGCGUAAAGGGCGCGUAGGCGGCCUGCUAAGUCGAACGUGAAAUCCCCGAGCUCAACUCGGGAACUGCGUCCGAUACUGGCAGGCUUGAAUCCGGGAGAGGGAUGCGGAAUUCCAGGUGUAGCGGUGAAAUGCGUAGAUAUCUGGAGGAACACCGGUGGCGAAGGCGAGUCUCUGGGCCGAUACUGACGCUGAGGAGCGAAAGCGUGGGGAGCGAACAGG
Molecule: ribosomal RNA, 253 nt
Filed under: uncultured bacterium
Lineage: Bacteria
Description: partial 16S ribosomal RNA
Rfam family: Bacterial small subunit ribosomal RNA
Source: RNAcentral